GAGCUGAGCAAAUGAUGAACCUGAAUGUACACCUCAUUGACCCUUUGACUCAUGCUUCACUUUCCUUUAACUUCUCUGCAAACAUUUGGAAAUGGAGAACAGACCUGGAUCAAGAAAUAUCACAGCAAAUGCACCUUUGAGAUCUUUGGUGUCUUCCUGGCCUUUCUUUGUGGAACUGCUUAACUUACUGUAUGAACAUCUUGGUCCUUGCCUCCCAGAGGAAGGCUGGCAGACAUGC
Long non-coding RNA from Canis lupus familiaris (dog), 238 nucleotides. RefSeq lists it as uncharacterized. Lineage: Eukaryota; Metazoa; Chordata; Mammalia; Carnivora; Canidae. The record is from RefSeq and is a predicted model, not a curated record. The transcript is spliced from 3 exons.